UUGGUAUAGAGUUAGGACUGGAUUAGGAUUUAGGAUUUGAUUAAGGUUUGAUUAGGAUUUGAAGUUGGAUUAGGAUUUAGGAUUUGCUUAGGAUUUAGAUUUUAGGAUUUUUUUAGGAUUUAGGUUUUACUUAGGAUUUAGGAUUUAGAAUUUUUUUAGGAUUUAGGAUUUAAUAUUUGCUUAGGAUUUAGGAUUUAAGAUUUUCUAAA
RNAcentral lists this long non-coding RNA (209 nucleotides) under Physcomitrium patens. RNAcentral describes it as "long non-coding RNA (PPAT_LNC001737)". The record is from RNAcentral. Lineage: Eukaryota; Viridiplantae; Streptophyta; Bryopsida; Funariales; Funariaceae.